GACGAACGCUGGCGGCGUGCUUAACACAUGCAAGUCGAACGGAAAGGCCCUGCUUUUGUGGGGUGCUCGAGUGGCGAACGGGUGAGUAACACGUGAGUAACCUGCCCUUGACUUUGGGAUAACUUCAGGAAACUGGGGCUAAUACCGGAUAGGAGCUCCUGCUGCAUGGUGGGGGUUGGAAAGUUUCGGCGGUUGGGGAUGGACUCGCGGCUUAUCAGCUUGUUGGUGGGGUAGUGGCUUACCAAGGCUUUGACGGGUAGCCGGCCUGAGAGGGUGACCGGCCAUAUUGGGACUGAGAUACGGCCCAGACUCCUGCGGGAGGCAGCAGUGGGGAAUAUUGCACAAUGGGCGGAAGCCUGAUGCAGCAACGCCGCGUGCGGGAUGACGGCCUUCGGGUUGUAAACCGCUUUCGCCUGUGACGAAGCGUGAGUGACGGUAAUGGGUAAAGAAGCACCGGCUAACUACGUGCCAGCAGCCGCGGUGAUACGUAGGGUGCGAGCGUUGUCCGGAUUUAUUGGGCGUAAAGGGCUCGUAGGUGGUUGAUCGCGUCGGAAGUGUAAUCUUGGGGCUUAACCCUGAGCGUGCUUUCGAUACGGGUUGACUUGAGGAAGGUAGGGGAGAAUGGAAUUCCUGGUGGAGCGGUGGAAUGCGCAGAUAUCAGGAGGAACACCAGUGGCGAAGGCGGUUCUCUGGGCCUUUCCUGACGCUGAGGAGCGAAAGCGUGGGGAGCGAACAGGCUUAGAUACCCUGGUAGUCCACGCUGUAAACGGUGGGUACUAGGUGUGGGGUCCAUUCCACGGGUUCCGUGCCGUAGCUAACGCUUUAAGUACCCCGCCUGGGGAGUACGGCCGCGAGGCUAAAACUCAAAGGAAUUGACGGGGCCCCGCACAAGCGGCGGAGCAUGCGGAUUAAUUCGAUGCAACGCGUAGAACCUUACCUGGGUUUGACAUGGAUCGGGAGUGCUCAGAGAUGGGUGUGCCUCUUUUGGGGUCGGUUCACAGGUGGUGCAUGGCUGUCGUCAGCUCGUGUCGUGAGAUGUUGGGUUAAGUCCCGCAACGAGCGCAACCCUUGUUCACUGUUGCCAGCACGUUAUGGUGGGGACUCAGUGGAGACCGCCGGGGUCAACUCGGAGGAAGGUGGGGAUGACGUCAAGUCAUCAUGCCCCUUAUGUCCAGGGCUUCACGCAUGCUACAAUGGCUGGUACAGAGAGUGGCGAGCCUGUGAGGGUGAGCGAAUCUCGGAAAGCCGGUCUCAGUUCGGAUUGGGGUCUGCAACUCGACCUCAUGAAGUCGGAGUCGCUAGUAAUCGCAGAUCAGCAACGCUGCGGUGAAUACGUUCCCGGG
RNAcentral lists this ribosomal RNA (1343 nucleotides) under uncultured bacterium. Its description in RNAcentral is "16S ribosomal RNA". It matches the Rfam family "Bacterial small subunit ribosomal RNA", at positions 28 to 1378 of the family's 1533-position model. The record is from RNAcentral.